AUGGAGAGGGUAAACUACUCACUGAUGAAGAGUUUCCUGUCUAGUCUAGUUGCUGAGCUGCAAAGGAGUAGCUCAACAACCGAGCUGUGUGUGUGUGUAGAUAUGUGUCAUAGUGCUGAUGCUUGGUAUUCCUUCAUGUAUACUGAUGUGUCUGAUGUUUUCGAGAAGAAAUUAAAGGGCCUCGGAGCUGGAAAAGGAGCAGGAGAUGAUCCCAUCCGAGCUGUCUUGCUGUACGCUGACUCGCCAACUGAUCAGCCAGCCUAUAUAAAUCCUGUGGCCAGCGAGCAGCCGGCCAAAGAUCUCCUCCGCCGACGUGGCACGGACCGAGCCAUCGCCAUCGUCGGCAUUACUGCUCUCUCCACCCGCGUAUCACAUCGAAGAGAGCCGUCCAUCAAGAGAUCAACAACCGAGGAGGCUGAGGUCCUGCUAACCGCUUUGACUGCUCCCCUUGCGUUUUUGCCCUUCUGGCACAUCUCCGCCCAGUCAGCGCCGUUUAACCGCAAACGACGCGUUACUUUGGACACCGCUUGCCCCCGUGCUCACUCACACUCUCUCAUUCCCCACUCUUGCUCUCUCUUUUUCCCUCUGACGAACCCUAAAUUGCGGCACCGAGCGGCGGGUGGCCAGAUCCAUUGCAAGGUGAUGGGGGAGAGUGGAGAAAGCGUCGGCGGUGGCCGCUGCGGUGGUAGGAACAACACACCUCCAAUGCAGCGCGGAGAAGGCGGCUGUGGUGGCACCAACGGCGAUAAGGGAAGCUCCUGUGGCGGAUCUGCACCAACGGCGAGAAGCGGUGGCGGAUCUGCACCAAUGGCGACAAGCGGGGGCAGAUCUGCAUGGCAAAUUCCCCCAGGGUUGGUAUUGGACCUGAUUUGCUCAGUUUUUUCACAGGAGAUUUACUUGGAUUUAGGAACUAGAGGUCAGAGAUGUGUGAACACAUCUAGUUCCAGGCCAUCUGCAUCCAGAACUAGGGCUAGCAGUAGAACACCAUGUGCUCCUAGAACACCAAGUGCUUAUGCAACUGCAAGUGUCAAUGAAUACCAAGAAAACCAAAAGAAGCCACUUGAUCCUGUUGUGGAGGAGGCAUUGCCUGAUGCACCUGGUGUGGAGGAUGAGGUUCUAUCUCCUGGAUACGUCCAGCACAAUAAUGAUGAAGGAGAUGCAGCAGAUAAAGAGUACAUUCCUGUAGAAUUUUCAGAUGCAGAUGAUGAUGAGAAGCAAGAGGAUGUUGAGAUGGGAGUUUUUGAAGAUGCAGAAGAGGACAGACCUGUAAAGAUGUAUGGCAGGGAAAAUCCAUGUAUUGAUGAAGGUGUGGUAUUCCCUAGUGUAGAUGACUGCAGAAAUGCAGUUUCAAGCUUCUCAAUCAAGUCUGAAAUUGAGUUCCUUACUCUGAAAAGUGAUCCAACAAGCCCUAGGAAAAAUUAUAAAAGGGCAGCAGCAAGAGGAGCUUCUCCCAGGUGUGUCAAGCAGAAAACUGUUGUGGAACAGGAGCAAGAAAGCAGUGUUCAAAGCAAAGAUUUCUCUCCAAAAAGAGCAGCAGCAACAGUUGAAGCUCCAAACCCAUCAAAGAACACUAGAAGCAAGGCAAUGCUAGCUCCAAACCCAGCCAAGAACACCAGGAGCAAGAAACUUAAGUUCUAG
RNAcentral lists this ribosomal RNA (1638 nucleotides) under Triticum aestivum (bread wheat). RNAcentral describes it as "partial small subunit ribosomal RNA". The record is from RNAcentral. Lineage: Eukaryota; Viridiplantae; Streptophyta; Magnoliopsida; Poales; Poaceae.